GAGGGGCAGACUGGCUCCGCCGCAGUGAGAGGGGCGGGGCAGGGGGAGCAAGGAGUGAAGGGGAAUCGACGCGGUGUCAGAGGAGACCCCCGAGGUGGGGGCAGCGGGUGGAGGACUCCCGGAGUGGACUAGUGGGGACCUCCGGGUGAGGUUCUGAAGACCCUGCUAGUAUGCUGGGAAUAAGAGAGGGGGGCCGAAGUAGGGAGAGGACAAGAGACCUGACAGGAAUAAGGGCAGCGCGCUCUCGGGAUGGAGGGAUGAAAAACUCUGCAGUCAUUAGGAUGAGGGGAGUCCUGCAUCUUAGGGGACACAGUGUUUUCCUAGUAUUUAGAGAGGCUCUCAGGAUAGCGGGGUGCAGAGACUGCAGCCUUCCGGAAUAGGGGGAGUAAGGUAAUCCUGAAUGAAGGCGUGGAUGCAAGAGGAUAGAGACGGGGCUCGUGACCGGAGGUACAGGGUUCUAGUUGCGCUAGAGGAGACUUCGGGAGAAGACUCAAGGAACUCUGCACCAGCUCUAGAAUAGGGGAGGAGAACAUGGAGUUGGGGAGGAUGGUGGGGCUACCCUGAAUCGGGAGACACUGCAGAGGAUGGAGAGAGGGAACCCCAGAUGGAAGGGAGGGGGGAAAGUGUUCUCCAAAAUGUGUACAGUGGCCCCCAGGGUAAGAGGAGGGAGACCCUGCUGCCAACCCCAGCAAGGGGGACCCUCGGUGAAGGAGGCAGAGAGUCACCUGAAUAGGCAGGAGGAAUCUGGGCUGAGUGUUAGGGGCAGAGAACCUAGGUGGGGGUGCAGUGAGGGACUGAGCAUGAAGUUGGGAGAGCUGGCCCCUGUGCAGGGUUGAGGGACGUGAUGGGUGUGCUAGAAGUCGCCCAAGCCGGGUUCUGCAGUUUGCUGGCUGAAUGACCUUGGACAAGCUGUGUCCUCCCUCUCUUGGUUUUCCCAUCUGUAGGAGGAGGGGUUCUUGCCCCAGGGACAGACUGCAAUUCCAAAUCCCAGACUGCACUAGGAAGUUCCACUUUGGAGAGUCUCUGGCUGAAUCAGGCGAGGGGAACCCCCAUAUUGCCUGCAGAUAUGGCACCUACUUUCCUACAACUAGAAAAUCCAUCUUCCUCCCUCCUCCUCCCCAUUUCCUCAGCUUCAACUUGUGAUCUCUUCCCCAACCCCCACAGCAAGGGUACAACCAGGGGUGCCUUGAUAGGCGUCCCUUCUUGCUCCCAGGGAAGUGGUGGGAAACUUUCUGAGCACCAAAGUCCGUUAUCCCCAUGACCCCCAGUCGGAGGUCAGGUAGACAAGGGGGUCCCUGUGAUCUGGGGUCCUUCCGCAACAGCUGCGUUAUUUGGCUCUUUCUUGGUUUGGGCUCAUGUUAGAUGCCUUUGGGAGUGGGGCUGGUGCUGCGGCUGGCGCUUCAGCACCAGGGAUAGGGCCUUCUCCUUUCUGGGGAGAAAGAGGUUAAGUUCUGCCUUCACCUUAGGGGGAGGGGUAGGAGGCAUGCCUGCACUCCCUGGCCUAGCCCCUGUGCUAUGCAGAUGGGAACUGAGGAAGGGUGGGUGAAUGAUCUCGCAGGGUCACCCGGUGAGCCAGGGACCCACCCCUGGACUUUCCAUUAGGGGUCCAGUUCUCUGUUUUCUAUGAAAUCUGUCCCCUUCCCCCCCACUGCGGACACACCUGGGCUGUCCCCUCCUCUACAGGGAACUGAAAGCAACUCCCAGGGAUGCCUGGACCCUUGAGACCCCUUGGGAGUCAUUGUAGACCCCUUCCCGGUCUGAUCCUCCUUUAAGCAGUUAGCAACCCCCACUACAUUCCCAGUUUACCCUUGUUUUCCUUCAGUGGGAUCUCCAGGAUGAGGACAGACAGAUUCCCCAGGAAAGACCUCUGCCAGUUCCUCUCUCUGCCUUCAGCCUCAUGCCCAGCCCCCUGGUUCUAAGCAGACCCUCAGGUCUUGGGAAGUCAUGGCGCUGUCCCUUUAACCACGUUUUACUGGAAGGAGAGUGUGCUGGGAGGAGGGAGGCAGGAAGGGAGUUUCUGGUUUUGCAUGAAGAAGCAGAACAUGAUGAAGCAUUUUUCCCCCAUUUAAAGAUCAAGUUGUGCUCCAGUUUGCAGAGGGCAGAGGGGCUGGCUUGCUGGUGGUACUGGGAGGAUGAAGAUUUGUCAUCAAACAAAUGACGGUUGAAACCGAGGCUUCAGGACUGCAGAAUCCAUUUCUCUGCCUCUGAGCAUCACGCCGGCAGCAGCGCCCCCUGCAGGCGGCAGCAGGCAUUCCCCUCCGCGCCGGAAAUGGCCGAACGCUUCCUCCAGCCUCCGAAGAUUGCCGAGGGCGCUAUUUCAAAGGCCCGGGCCUAGAGAAGCAGGGCGCGCCACCUUCGGACCCUAUUCAACCUUCUAGGCGGCCUUAAUCACCGCAGUGUCCCGUCAGUGGCGGCACCUCCAGGCCUGCGGAAAGGUGGCAGUGACCUUGACUGUUGUCUCUUCCUUUGUCCUGGGCACGUUCCAGUCUGCGGUGUGGCCGGACUGCGUGGGCAAACUGUCCAGAGCGCUGUGUGAGCUAAGGUGGGGGCCGCAUCCUCCCGGGCUCAGUGGGUCCUGCCUCUCCCGUGGGCAUCAGGCCCCGACGCCAGCUCUUCCCUUGUCAGCAUACAUCCAGGCCACGUCACACAGUUGCUCACGUGUCUGUGCAAGCUGGAUGGCUGCUCGCCUGGCUGUGGGGGGCAGCACCCCCACUGCCCAUCCUGCACGUGGCCGAGGCCCACCUAGACCCCUGGUCCUGCGGACUCCACAUCAGGCACGUGCACGAGAACCUGGACUUCAGGUAGGAGCCUGCCUACCUGCCCCUCCCCUGUGGCCAGCCUCUCCACAUCCUGCACGUGGGGAGACCCAGUGCUCCUGGUGCCAAUUCUCGUUGUUCUCCUUCAGAACCUUGAGAGGUGGACACCACCCCGGGGUGAUGGAGGUGGCUCAGGUAUGCUGAGCGCCCGCACCAUGUUGGGUCCUUUGCACGUCGGGAAGCCUUACUUGCAGCUUCACCGGGUAGGUUCUGUUAUUACCUCCACUUUACAGAUGGGGAAACUAAGGCAUGGAGAAGUAAGAGUCAUGGACCUAUGUCAUAGGACUUCAAAGUGGCAGAGGCUGUCUCUACUUGGUGGGGUGUGUGGGGCAGCUAGCAGCAGUUCAGUGUGGAGGGCAGACCAUCUUCAGUGGGGUGGGGUUGGCUCCAGGAGGGAUGGCAGAGGGAUGAGGCUGGAUGGGGGACAGGGCUGUGUUUGGAGAGACUGUGAAGCCACAGAGGGGACUUUGCACCUUGUCUGGGGUUCCUGGGAGCUGUGACACAGUUGUGAGCAAGAGAGGGAUGUAGCCAGAGCUCCAGUAAAGGGCUCCCUCCUUUGGCCUUGAAGGUGUGGAGGCCAGCGGCAGAGGAGCCAGGGAGGCAGGGUCCCCGUGAGCCUGGCCUGGUGCCUCUGCAGCGGGCAGGCCAGCGUGGCUAGAGGGAAGCGAGCCACCGGCAGUCAUCUAAGAUGUGGGUGGAGGGGACUAGAACCAGGUCCAGCACGGUAAAGAGUUAGGAUUUUACUUACCAUCCACAGGUGGUCACAGUCCCAGUGUCACCCCAGCAGAGCCCAGUAGAUACGAAUAAUGAUCAUGACAUGACGGCUACAAUGGGGAGCUUCCAUCAAACUUACUAUGUGCCAGGCACUGUUCCAAGCACUCAGAUUGUCUCAGUUAACCCUCCCAUAACCCUGCCUAGUAGGCCCGUGUAGUGUCCUCCAGUGAGGACAGAGGCACAGGGAGGUGAAGUGUGACUGGUCCGAGGCCACAGGGCUGGUCAGUGGCGGAGUCUGGGUUCAGGGCCACGCUCUCGCCACGCCCCUGUCUGCCUUGCUCGCUAGAUGGUACCAAUUACUUACCAAGGGCUCCCUCUGAGCUGCUGCAGCAGCAUCAGUCAGCCAAGUUGGCAGAAGAAACUAGAAAUUUAAAAGCAGAAAAUGAAAAACAACACAGAACAAUUGCAACAGAUCUUCAAGAUGCAGAAAGGUGGAGGAAUCUGCCGGCUGACCAGCGUGUGGGGAAACGCAGCGACCAGCGGUUCCUCGUUCAACCCUCCUUCCUCCCGGCUGUUCUCAGUGCUCAGGAUGUUGUGCUGUCGUGGCCCGUGUGAGACAGGGAGCACCGUUCCCGGGAGAAGAUGGUCGAGGAACCCACUGGCGCUGCUGCUACUACUACAGUGGCUUCCCCGAGAUGGCAACUCUGUGCAGCCCCACUGGACCCUUCUGCCACCACACACCUCACCUCCCUCCCAGCCCAGGUCAUACAGGUGGCUGCAGCUGGGGCCAGGGGGUUGGUGCGGACACAGGAGGUGGGUGCCACCAGUCCACCUCCCCCGAGCUGCACUCUGAGCCCACUGGUCUUUAUUCACUUAGCCCCUCACAGCACCAGACCCUGAGCUUCCAGCCACUAAGAUGGGAGCACACAGUGACAUGGGAGGGACAGGCACACACAGCUCCAGAUGCCUGUUAACAGCCAGGCUUUGAAAACAGCCUGACAGAUGCAGGUUCAGUUGCUCUAUCCCUUACUAACCCCGUCACCAAAGGGUUUGCCGAGCACCUAUUAUUAAAUCACACCCCGUCGUGAGUGGUGUGAUGAAAUCUCAAGCCAUCCAGUUCCAUCCCACUGGGGACAUGCAUCCUCCCUUUGCCCAGAGGAUCCACAUUGUCUACACUGCCCACCCACGAGUCACUUAGUAGCCGUGUCAGCUAUCAGACUGACUGUUCUAGCAUCAUAGUGCUCAUGUUCGAGUAACCGUUACUUAAUAAUGGCCCCAGAGUGCAAAGGUACUGAAGCUAGUAAUUCGGAUAUGCCAAAGGGAAGCCCUAACAUGCUUUCUUUGAAUGAAAAAGUGAAAGUUUUCAACUUAAUAAGGAGAGAGAAAUCAUAUGCUGAGGUUGCUGCGAUCCAUGAUUCACCUCUGUCCACCAAGAAGGCCUAGAAGCAAUCACACCCCAUAGCAAUGAGCACACCACACUCUCAGCUCUUGGUUUCUAACUAUCAUUCUCCACGAAAAGUAAGCAGGGGCUAUUUGGAAGAAUGGUUGACUUCCGUGCUACAGCAGGAAGCAUACAAGAUGAACCUGGACCUUUAGUACUUUUUAAGUACUUAAAAGGUACUGAAAAAUACUGAAGUAUGGAAGAUAAACCUGGAAAUACUUAAAAGAAAUGAUGAAGGCUUGUUGAAAGGAGCCAGCCAGAAGAAAUUCCCAAUGGUCAAAGCUGGAACAAAUGAGAGUGAAAAAAAUAAUGAUAGAGUUGGAUUAUAACUAAGAAUAAAAUAUUCAUGAGUUCAUAUGGAUAUAAAUAAAUAAUUGAGUAAAUGAAUUAAUGGGCAAGAAGAAGCAACUCUUACCUCCAGUAGAAUUACAAUUAGUAAAUGUAGAAGGAAUGAGGGAAAUAGAAAAUCAUCAUUAGGCAUACACCACAGUAAUAGUUGUUGCAGGCAAGAACCACUGAAGAAUGCUAAAAUUAGGGGACAAAAUAUGAUAAGGAAUAGGAUUUUUCAUAGUCUCGCAAUGUCUCCCCACAAGACAUUUAUUAGUUACAAAGCAAAUGUGACAACUUUACACUGGAGAAACAUGGCAGAUGCCACCUCAACAAAGUGACUAUUGUUGACAUCACAAGUAAUAAGAAAUCAGAUAUUGUGGCCAGACGUGGUGGCUCACACCUGUAAUCCUAGCAUUCUGGGAGGCCGAGGUGGGUAGAUUGUUUAAGCCCAGGA
Molecule: non-coding RNA, 5755 nt
Organism: Microcebus murinus (gray mouse lemur)
Lineage: Eukaryota; Metazoa; Chordata; Mammalia; Primates; Cheirogaleidae
Source: RefSeq, a predicted model, not a curated record